GAAAGUAAGUAAGGGCGUAUGGGGGAUGCCUAGGCUCUUGGAGGCUAAGAAGGACGUGGUAAGCUGCGAAAAGCUGCGGGGAUUUGCAAACGAGACUCGAUCCGCAGAUAUCCGAAUGGGACAACCCGGCAGGUAGAAGACCUGUCACACCGCGAGGUGAGCUAACCCUCUGAACUGAAACAUCUAAGUAGGAGGAGGAAAAGAAAGAAACAUCGAUUUCCAAAGUAGCGGCGAGCGAAAUGGAAGAAGCCCAAACCGAUAUUGUUACGGCAAUAUCGGGGUUGUAGGACUGCAAUAUUCAAUUAACAAUGAACUGGAAUGGUCUGGAAAGUCCAUCCAUAGAGAGUGAAAGGCUCGUACAGGUAAGUUUGUUAUGCGAAAGCAGUAUCCUGAGUAUGGCGGGACACGAGGAAUCCUGUCAGAAUCAGCCGGGACCACCCGGUAAGGCUAAAUACUCCCAAGAGACCGAUAGUGGACCAGUACUGUGAAGGAAAGGUGAAAAGAACCCCGAACAGGGGAGUGAAAUAGAACCUGAAACCAUACGCUUACAACCGGUCGGAGCAGCUUCGUGCUGUGACGGCGUGCCUAUUGAAUAAUGAGCCUACGAGUUACUAAUCACUAGCGAGGUUAAGUGCAAGGAUGCACGGAGCCGAAGCGAAAGCGAGUCUGAACAGGGCGUUUAGUUAGUGGUUGUAGACGCGAAACCUUGCGAUCUACCCUUGAGCAGGUUGAAGGUUGGGUAAAACCAACUGGAGGACCGAACGAAUAAGCGUUGAAAAGCUUCUCGAUGACUUGAGGGUAGGGGUGAAAGGCUAAUCAAGCUGGGAAAUAGCUCGUACUCCCCGAAAUGCCUUUUGGGGCAGCGUUGUAAUAAAGAGUCUACUGGAGGUAGAGCUACUGAUUGGAUGCGGGGGCUUCACCGCCUACCAAAUCCUGACAAACUCCGAAUGCCAGUAGUAUGAUUUACAGCAGUGAGUGACUGGGUGCUAAUGUCCAGUCGCAAAAGAGGAACAACUCAGACCAGCAACUAAGGUCCCGAAGAAUAUGCUAAGUUGAUCUAACGAUGUUUUGUUGCAGAGACAGCUAGGAUGUUAGCUUGGAAGCAGCUAUUCAUUCAAAGAGUGCGUAACAGCUCACUAGUCGAGCGACAGAGCGUGGAUAAUAAACGGGCAUCAAGCAUAUCACCGAAGUUCUGGGCGCGAGAGCGCGGUAGGGGAGCAUUCCAUUCAGCGUCGAAGCAGUUUCGUGAGGAAUUGUGGAGCGUAUGGAAAAGCAAAUGUAGGCAUGAGUAACGAUAAUGCGGGAGAGUAACCCGCACACCGCAAGACCAAGGUUUCCUGAUCAACGCUAAUCGGAUCAGGGUUAGUCGGGUCCUAAGGGUAAGCCGAACGGCGAUCUCGAUGGAUAAUCGGUUAAUAUUCCGAUACUAACAUAUACCUCGAUGGAGAGACGAAGGAACGUAAGUGCCGCCACCUGACGGAAUAGGUGGUUAAAGGGCGUAGAUAUAGGGGCAGAUUAAGAGUUAGUCCUUGCUGAAACCUGACAGUACAGAGAGCCUACGGGCAAUUUGAUAGAGCACCCAAGUCGACUUCCGAGAAAAUCUUCUAAGUUAUAGUAUAUGUUACCCGUACCGUAAACCGACACAGGUGGUCGAGGAGAGUAUCCUAAGGUGCUCGAGUGAAUCACGGUUAAGGAACUAGGCAAAUUAACCCCGUAACUUCGGGAAAAGGGGUCCCUAUGAAAGUAGGGCGCAGCGAAGAGGUCCAGGCGACUGUUUAUCAAAAACACAGGGCUCUGCAAAUUCGAAAGAAGACGUAUAGGGCCUGACACCUGCCCGGUGCUGGAAGGUUAAGAGGGGAUGUCAUCGCAAGAGAAGCAUUGAAUCGAAGCCCCAGUAAACGGCGGCCGUAACUAUAACGGUCCUAAGGUAGCGAAAUUCCUUGUC
This 1945-nucleotide ribosomal RNA is filed under the name metagenome. Its description in RNAcentral is "bacterial LSU rRNA". It matches the Rfam family "Bacterial large subunit ribosomal RNA", at positions 1 to 1973 of the family's 2925-position model. The record is from RNAcentral.